Molecule: ribosomal RNA, 498 nt
Filed under: uncultured bacterium
Lineage: Bacteria
Description: partial 16S ribosomal RNA
Rfam family: Bacterial small subunit ribosomal RNA
Source: RNAcentral
GACGAACGCUGGCGGCGUGCCUAAUACAUGCAAGUUGAGCGCUGAAGGUUGGUACUUGUACCAACUGGAUGAGCAGCGAACGGGUGAGUAACGCGUGGGGAAUCUGCCUUUGAGCGGGGGACAACAUUUGGAAACGAAUGCUAAUACCGCAUAAAAACUUUAAACACAAGUUUUAAGUUUGAAAGAUGCAAUUGCAUCACUCAAAGAUGAUCCCGCGUUGUAUUAGCUAGUUGGUGAGGUAAAGGCUCACCAAGGCGAUGAUACAUAGCCGACCUGAGAGGGUGUUCGGCCACAUUGGGACUGAGACACGGCCCAAACUCCUCCGGGAGGCAGCAGUAGGGAAUCUUCGGCAAUGAACGAAAGUCUGACCGAGCAACGCCGCGUGAGUGAAGAAGGUUUUCGGAUCGUAAAACUCUGUUGGUAGAGAAGAACGUUGGUGAGAGUGGAAAGCUCAUCAAGUGACGGUAACUACCCAGAAAGGGACGGCUAACUACGUGC